RNAcentral lists this long non-coding RNA (4218 nucleotides) under Homo sapiens (human). Its description in RNAcentral is "non-protein coding lnc-CD46-4:1". Lineage: Eukaryota; Metazoa; Chordata; Mammalia; Primates; Hominidae. The record is from RNAcentral.
UAUAGCGCAAAGCUGCGGUAUGGAGAAAAGCCUAGAACCCACAGCCGCCAUGAUGACGCAAACAAAAUUAAAAGGGUCAAGAACUCAAGGCCCACUGUUUCACCUAAGAAGAAAAGGAAGAAGAUGAAGGGGAGAAGAGAAGCUCUGAUUUGGGUCAAUAUGGAAAGGGGAGGCUGACGCAGGCUGCCCAAGAGCCAGCCUUUAGCUUAGUGACGGUGAUGCGGAUCCGCCAUCUUGAAGCGCCGCCCGGCAGAGGACUCUCAAGACGCCACAGCCCCACCACGGCCACUUCUCCCAAGGUACAGGUGCGCCCGCAUUCACUGAGGUCGGCCUGGCCCACCCCUACCCCAAGAAGCGAAUCGCCCUUCAUUCAAGGCAAUGACCAGCAAGACUAUCACAAAGAGAACCACGGUGAAAAAUCCCAAAGGGCUUUCUGGGCCCUGGGAAGAUGUCUGUCAUCUGGGACUAGUGGGAAGAACUCAAAAAGUGACCCUAUUUGCCAAGCUCAUCUAAUAACACAUACAGCUGUUAUUUUCUUUUCAGACUCUAAAAUGCAAGGGUUCCCAGAGCCCUGCUGAGUUACCUGGUGUCGCUCCCAUCCUGAUGCCCGGGCGGUGGCCGCCUUCUCUGUCCAGCCCUCCCUGAAAAUGACCCCAGGCUAAGGAUCAGCUCAGAGCCCCGAGCUGUUUUUGUAGCUUUCAUGUUGACAGAACAUCCUGGCCACUCUGCUGAGAGCUCCAUCUCCCGGCUCCCGAUACACUGAGUCAUCUUCCAAAGAGGAAAAAAAACAACAAAGCAGCCGUCACCAGGGUCCCCAUUGCCGUCGACUGACGACUCACUGGCUGUCGUCACACUCUGCUCCGCGGCCCCCGAAUUGGUAACGAGGGGCUUCAGGGUGCCCAGCUCCCCUCCCGUGGGACUCAGCAGCGUCAGGGAAGCAGGCAGCCACUGCUGAGAUUCAGAAAGAAGGGAAACUAACCUGGCAUCAAAAGGCUCCCAGGAAAGCUCACUGACCCUCCCUCUGCCGUCACCAGCCCCCACCACUCAGAUGCCAUGGCAUGUUCCUGAUGCAGAAGUAAAGGGGUAUUUAUGGCAGGUGGGGGACAGUACACCUUGCAGGCUUGAAGGGCGUAACGCCUAGGUUACCUCCUCUGCGCCCCUGCUGUGAUACCACUUAGGGCACAGGAGCUCCUGUCUCCCCCAUUUCUUCUCUAGCCCCCUGCUAUGCUCCCAUUUUAAGUCCCUGAUAAACCACUGGGUAGGGAUGGGAACCUAUUUGCUGCCAAUAUAUUAGGCAUUUCUGUAUAACAGUUGUAGUAGCUCCAUCUCACUGAAAACUUAAAUCAUAUGACUUGUCUAAAGUCACUCAGCUAAGAAGAAGGAUCACAAUGAAAACCUAGGUCUGUUCAAGUCCAGUGUCUCUGCUCCCUGCUCUCUAAUUCUGGAGCUUAUUCUGGCUUUGAAGAUGCUGUAUCCCACUCCACCUCUCCCUCCUCUUGUACGAGGAAGGCAACCAGGAUAACUGAGUCAGUUAAUCCAUCAAUUUCAGCUACAAGAAAAAAGCCAUCAUCUUGAGUGAACCUGACCACAAAGGAAGAGGAGAAAGUUAAUGACAGUGUCAAGGAACAGCUGAGGGACCCAGACCAUGGACACAAGAUUGACCACCCAAACUCCCUCAGAGCAUUAGGGACUUACAAAAUUCCUUAAAUAGACAAAUUUUGGGGAUCUACUUCAUAACAGCCAUCUUGUAAACACCAGUAAUUCAGAGAGGAAAAAUGUAAAGGCUUUGGAAGACCAGGGCUCUAGUCAUGACCAGGCCACUUACUAGACAUGGGAUGCUCCCCACAGGGCUGUGGAAAGGAGUAAAUGAAGUAACUGCAGGGAAAGUGUAUAACAUGGUAUCUGUCAAACAGAAGGCACCAAAUAGGUAUUUGUUUUCCUUCUCCUUUCUCUAGCCUCCCUCCUGGAGCUCCCAAUCUGAUAGGUGACAUAAGACUUAUACACAAAUAAUCAUAACACAACAAAAGUACCAUAAAAAGGGACAGACUGUAUGGAAGUUUGGCUGAAAGGGCAGGGGUGGUUAUGAGAACUGCUUCUUGCCAAGGAAAUCAGGAGAGGUCCACGGAGAAAGUGAGACUGCCACAGGUGGAUGCAGAGGAGAAGAGGCAUGGAAAACAUCACUGGUGAAAACAGAUAGGAAAAGGAAGUUGCCUGGUUUUGUUGGAACCUAUGGUCCACCAAAAGAAACUGAGAGAGGUAAGACUGUACAGGAAACCUAAGGCCAGUUACGGCCAGCAUUGAGCAUCACGCUAAAGGGAAGGAAUUUUACUCUGGGAAUUAUGAGAAACCAUUUUAAGUUUCUGAGCAAGAAAGACAAGAUGGCCGCUGCACGCAGAAGGGCCUGGAGAGAGGGGGAACGGGCAGCGGGGAGCCUCACAAGAGGACUACAGCUGGAACCAUGGCACUGGCAGGGGGCAUGGAGGAGAAAGAGAAGAAAAACAGUAAGCAGGCAGGACCAUCCGAACAGAUCCUCAAAGCUGCCAUGGACCUCACUUCCCUGUCCCCACAGGGAGGCUGCUGGAGACAGAGCCUAUUUGGGGAACACAAACCACGGGUCUGACACGUCUGAGAUGAGCUGCCGAGCCUCUGCCUCCACUCUCAUUCAGACACUCAGCUUUUCCGAACUACUCCAAGCACCAGGCUGAUGAGGACAUGGGAAACCCACGCUCUGGCAAAGCCGGGCCCAGGUGUUGAACCCCUACCCAGACGCCUUCCACCUGAAUCCCCACCCAGGACUGUGUCCAAGGGUGGGACUAGGCGGCUCUGCCCCUAGAGCCACCUUCAUUGCGGCAGCCACCACUGUGCCUGCCUCUGCUGUGCUUUUGCCCCCCCUUCCCCUCCUCCGUCAUAGCCCCCGCCCCCCGCCCACUCUGCGGAACUGGCACAGCAGGACAGAAAAACCAACGCCACCAUGUCGGAGACCAGCAGAAAUGGCUCCAAAAUGGCAGCUCAUCAGAGGAGUCCAGAAAGAUCAUAAACCCACCCAGGGAAAAGAGGGGAAGCCAGUGACAAGGGGAGUAAACUGUCAAAACUACCUCCCAACCAAGCCCCCGAUAAUCAUCACAUCUUUUCCUUCAGAAACAUCCUCUCAAAAAUCAGAUGGGACAUGAGUGAAAGAAGGGUGCCACCCCCUCCACCAGAGAGGCCCUAGGGGCCAUAGGUGGUAUGGGGCACUCAGAAGGAUGUUCUGUAGCCUCUUCCCCAAGAUGAGGCUAGAAAACCACCACUUUUGUCCUCAAGCUUGGCUCCUGCCAGUAACUAGACAAGAGUUAGCCCUCCCAGGGAUUGCAGUCCUUCACUGCUACCCAGUCAGACCCUCCCCAGCUCUAUGGGCCCUGGGGAGCAAGAAGGUAGGGUUGCAAGGAAGGGCCGAGAAGGCGCGUGCCAUGCCCUCAGUUAUGUAAUAAGAAGGGCGGUGCUCGUCCUAGGCCAGAGACCCAGGGCGCACUGCGCUUCCAGAUGCGCAGUCACGGGUGGGGGCCACUGCGCAUGGCGCAGGGCUUGGUAAACCCCCUCCCCACAAACGUGAGACCUGCGACAAAGACAGGUUAGAGAGCCGGGACCCUGAUUUUUCGAGGCCUCCCUCCCCCAACCAAAGGCGGACAGCCUGCUGCCCUAGUUUUAUUCUGAUUCUCCUCAUUCCCUAGACUGACAAACCUUUCUAACCCGGGGCCUCCAAACCUCCCGUCUCCCACUGACUUUUCUGGAAAUCCCACCAGAUGCGGAGUUUCGAGCAAUUUCCUGGGGUCAGUCCCCCAUCCUCACCUUUCCAAGCACCACGUAGUAGUAGCUUCCAGAAGGUAGAUCUUUCCCAUACUGGGCUCAGCUCACAACUGGCUCUUGAGGGCCUCUGGACAGCCCCGGACGUCAAUGCAAAUCUGUUGUCCCCAGGGAGUAGCCCAGAGUCAGCAGGAAGCCCAGGGUGGUGGCAGUAUCAGCAGCAGCAGCUCUGCCCUACCUUGCCCAUGCGUUUCCAGGGGAGCCAAGAAUUAUUUUGCCGCAACACUGAGGUGUGGCUGAUUGGAAAAUUCCCUUUUCCAACACCAAACUACAGAAUAAAUAUUUUCUUCCAAUUUGGUCAACCCUCUGCAUACCCAUCUCCCUAGCAUUCUUCCCUCUAAAUAAAAAGUUUUGGGAGCCCUGAGCUCUUCCUCCUUA